Long non-coding RNA from Psammomys obesus (fat sand rat), 2099 nucleotides. RefSeq lists it as uncharacterized. The transcript is spliced from 3 exons. The record is from RefSeq and is a predicted model, not a curated record. NCBI's taxonomy places the organism in Eukaryota, Metazoa, Chordata, Mammalia, Rodentia, Muridae.
AGGGCCGAGGAGGUGGGGCGGAGGGCCGAGGAGGGCGGGCCCAGGGCCGAGGAGGCGGGGCCGUGGUCGGUAGCCCCGCCCCGUAACUGAUGGCCGACUGAGGGGAUGGGUGGGUGUUGUCCGGCUCAGCAGCUGGGGUUAUGGCUCGGCGACAGGGUCACGGAGCAGCGCGGCAUUGUGGGAGGCCCCGGGGCCGGUGGGCCGAGCCUGUAAUCUUUCUUGCCUCCAGCAGCUCACUGGCUUCGGGGUCCGCCCGUUAGAGACCCUCCAGCUGCCCCCGCUGCUCUGCUGGCAGAAGGCACGGCCUGGCCUACUCCCAGGGCUGCUCUGAAUGGCUUUUCCUUUGCAGUAACUGAUUAGCUGUCCACUACGGCAACCAGUUAUGACUGCCGCAAGUGAGGAGAAAUAGAAAUGAAGAGAAGGAAUCAGAUGUAACAAAGGUCUCACUGGAAAGGCUGAGGCGGGAGGAUUGCCACAAGUUUGAAAGAGUGUUGGGCUGCUUGUCCACCCUUAGCAACAGGCAUUGUCAGACCACAAAGAGGGAAUCAUAUUCAGUUAAAGAGCUGAGAGAAUAGGGCAGGAGUUGGAGCGAGUAGGGCGGGGAUUUUGCCGUAAGUUCAAGGCCAGCCUAGGCUGCAUACUUUGGUUCCAGGACAAUAUAGGUUACAGAAUGAGACUGUCAAAAAAGAGAAAGAAAUCUUGCAUUCUCCAAGGACUAGUUUGAAUUGCUUUUCCUCUGAGUAGCUGUGAUUCAGCCUCCCCAACCCCCCUUAGUAGCAAGCAAUGAUAGAGGUAACAGACAAGAAAAAAAAAGGAAAGAAAAGAAAAAAAAAAACAAAACAGCAAAUGAAUCAGAGGUGAGUAACCGAAGUUUAGAAAGAACUGGGCUCGGAUUCAAAGAGCACACCCACACACCUUUAAAAAUAGCCUUUCAUCAGCGGAGGCCAUCGCCACACUGACCUGAAAAUGCAGGUUCAUGUUGUUUUCACUGUUUUUUUGUGUCGUGCAGUGAGCGGAGUCGACAGAAUUCAGUCUCUGGGCCAGUGCUCACACACGCCAGAGCUCAGCAAUACUUACUGAUUUGAGAAGAGACAGGGUCGCAUGCCGGGGUUAGUUCCUCUGCCACCCAUGGAGAACCGAGGAAGGAGAGACUUAAGCAGAGGAAGGCAGCAUCUGAAGAAUUUGGUGAGAAGCUUUUCUUCUGGUAGUCAAAAACAGCAUUCGAGGAAAUGAUCUUCAGUGACCCCGUGGGACUGGUGUCCUCCCUUAACCCUGCUGGACUCUUUUCAAAGGAGUCUUCUGGCCUUAAGCCAGGAUCAUGUACCUGUCAGGCUUUCCUGAGAUGAUGCCAAAUGUCUUGGGUAGGAUUGAUAAACAGUUCAUACUUCCUGGUUCUGAUUCUAUUCCUGGAAAAGCACCCAACUAGACUGAGAACACUCUGUGACGUAAUCAGAUUGUAGACAACAACUUGAGAGGAAGACUUCAGAAGAGAAGCAACUCCAAAGAGCAGCCACUGCGGAGAGUAGCAUGAGAAGAGGCGCUGCCCUGGAGAAGCAUUACCAAGCACUCCCUCAUUCUGAAGUGAGGCAGGAAGAAAGGCUAUGCUAUACGGUGAUAAAAGAGCCCUACACUCUGGAGUGUGUGAGGCCUCUCAACAGCUGAGAUCAAGGACUGCAGCACAGGGGGUAUUUUCUGUGAAUGUUGCUGAUGUGGGGCCCGUAUGUAUCUUAGAGAAAAAUACUUACAAAUAAAAAUGCUAAAAUACCAGUAAAUCAGGCUUCAGGCUUGGACCCAUCUGAUCUUGGACAGGACCUCACUUUCCUCCUGGAGAUUUUUCUGGGCUCUCAUAGCAAAACUGCUAACUUUUGUCCACAGCGAAGGGAAGCUACCUCGACUUUCUAUGUCCCUGGCAGGUGGCUAAGUGUGAGUCUGCCGGGGCCGCCUCAGGAGACACAUUGUGAUCUCAUUUAAGCUCCUCGCAGGCCUUUGGUGAUGAAAACUUAAGAGCCCACAGAGCUCUGUGUCCCGAUGUACAGACGGUGGAUUAGCGCUCUCCUCCAUACGCCCACACCCAUGCUGUCAGGUGUGCCUGACUCUUC